Molecule: long non-coding RNA, 704 nt
Organism: Lingula anatina
Lineage: Eukaryota; Metazoa; Brachiopoda; Lingulata; Lingulida; Lingulidae
Source: RefSeq, a predicted model, not a curated record
AAACAACCUCACUGUGUAAGCUUAAAACGAAUUGUUGUGAUAUUAUGUAAACUGUGCACAGGUCUACGUGUGACUGGGAACGUAGACUGAACUGGAGUCUUCAGUGAUGUACACUGCAUGAUGAAAUACCUGGCAGGAAUUCACCAUGGUUCAAUGUAUUAUUUGUACAUAACCCAGAUGUUGUUCACAAGCGUCCUGGUGAAAAAUAUAUGCAGUGCAAAAGACAUAAUGUGAAUCCCAGAGGCAUAUAGGUGAGGUCAACGUUGGGUCAUGCCGGGAAUCACUGCAGUCUCGCAGUGAGGAAGCUCAAGAAGAAUUCAAUGACAAAUUUAAAUUGUGAACAAGAUUAUGUUUUUUCGAUGCUGGUGCUUUCAUCAUGUCUUGGACAGGAAAUGCUCUGAACUUCAUCUCUCAUCCAAGUUUUCCAAAAUAAGACGGGAAAAGUGUGGAACACAAAAGUUUUAUUAUUAUUAUUUUUUUCUGUACACUUGUUAAGUAAGAUCGGAAAGGGUCCCAACCCCCUACAGCUUACACAAACGAGAUCAAGAGAAUAGCAGAAUCGCUUCAAGUCAUGUUAGUUUUAAUAAAAUAGUAUGGAGUAAUAUUUUUGUACAUUUUACGUGUGAAAUUCCACCAGUUCAGCAGGAAAUAUGAAAAGGGUAACCUUAUGAAAGAAACAUAUAUAUAUAUAUAUAUAUAUAUAU